CUGGCUGUGAUGAGACGCGCAGGGGAACGGACCUCAGCUGAUGAUGGGAGCUGAGUGCCAGUGGCUUAACGCAGAUCAGCAGGCAUGUGGUCAGCUGACUGCCGGCCGCUGGCAUGAGACCGCACUGUCUGAGCCAU
Molecule: small nucleolar RNA, 137 nt
Organism: Engraulis encrasicolus (European anchovy)
Lineage: Eukaryota; Metazoa; Chordata; Actinopteri; Clupeiformes; Engraulidae
Product: small nucleolar RNA SNORD94
Exons: 1
Source: RefSeq, a predicted model, not a curated record